RNAcentral lists this long non-coding RNA (3403 nucleotides) under Cicer arietinum (chickpea). RNAcentral's name for it is "long non-coding RNA (CARI_LNC000193)". The record is from RNAcentral. Lineage: Eukaryota; Viridiplantae; Streptophyta; Magnoliopsida; Fabales; Fabaceae.
GUAAAAUCAACAAUUCACAUAGACCGUUCAUAAGUCAAUUUGACAUAAACAAACCAAUACUAAGAUUCAAAUAAUAAUCUUAUUAGUAUUUUAGGAACAAUAUCAAUUACAUGAGAAGUCUCGCAAUCAACUUACAUAUAAAAAAAUUAUAGGCAAAUGUUAAUACAUUAGUAGAUUUUUCAAGUUUGAAUCCAUCACCUUCUGCUUAAAUUUACCUUUGGUGUCCCUUACAAAUAAUUUGUUUAACUUCACUUAGCACAUUUCACUAAUUAUUGGUAGUAAGUUAAAUUUUGUGAGUGCAAGUUUCUAUGAUAGACUUAGUGUUUUGACGUAUGCUAAAACUAUGUUUUAAUUAGAUGAUUUUGUGUACCUUUGUUGAUUCUUAAAUUCUCAAUAUCCACAAAUGUUCUUGAAAAAGAAAAACAAUUUUACAAUUUUAAUUUAGUAUGCAUAACUUUAGGAGCAUGCCACAAACAUGUUUGAAAGUCAUGCAAUGCAUUAAAAAUAUUUUCAAAGGGGAUUUUAACUUCAUAAAUUGACUCAUACAUGUGAAUUAACUUACAAAGAGCCUGAAAUUAUUUCAUGAUGCUUGGAAAAAGUGAACCAACUCACCAGGGUUGUGAUUCGACAUACCAAAUUUCCUCCAAGUUCAUAAGUUAACUUACACAUAUCAUGAAUCAAUUCAUGCAAUUCAAGAUUCAAAUAUUGGUUUUUUGAAAACUUUUUUAAUCGACUCAUACAUGUGUUUCAUUCAUUGAUUCACUCAAGUAUUAUAUCAAAAUUAUAAACUUUUUCUUGUGUGAUUGAAUUUUUGAGAGAUAAAUAUCAAAGGUCGGGUAUCCUUUGUAUGGAACAAUUGUUCUAUUGGUGAGCGAUUAGGGUUCAAUCGGAUGUGACAUGUAAGGGUUGAAAAUGAUGUUCUUUUUAGUGCUAGAGUUUGUAAUUAUUCUAGGGUGAUUCUAUCUUACAGGUUUGAAGGGGUUCUUCGUCUUGGAGAUAGCGGNNNNNNNNNNNNNNNNNNNNNNNNNNNNNNNNNNNNNNNNNNNNNNNNNNNNNNNNNNNNNNNNNNNNNNNNNNNNNNNNNNNNNNNNNNNNNNNNNNNNNNNNNNNNNNNNNNNNNNNNNNNNNNNNNNNNNGGUUCAGAUUAUUCUUAAAGGAUUUUUAGGAAAUAUGGUUCUUUAGCAUUUAGAGUAUAAGGAACUAAUGUACAAGCUAUGUAAACAAAUGCCGACAGAUCUAGUAACUUCCAUAUUAGAAUAAAGGAAAAAACUAUCAUUCAUUUUGAAUGAGAACUUUAUGUACUAUAUACAUAUUAAGGACACAAAUAGGAACUAAUAUGAAUAUUGGUGUGAUUUUUCCUUUCCAUUUUCUCUUUAAUUUAUGUAUGUGUUUGUUCAUAUUGAUUUUGAUAUUGGUGUUUGGAGACAAUCACAACUAUUUUCUAUUUGUCGUAAUUACAAUUUUGGUUUCCCUAUUUUUAUCAAUUUGCAGAAUUAAUGUCCCUAUUUUAAAAUCUAACAAUUUUAGUCCUCCACCCAUAUUUUUUAACUAAAUAGUGAUUUCAUGUAUUUAAAAUGAUGUGACAUACAUCACAUUAAGUAUUUUCGUCUAGAUGCAUUAAUUAUUUAUAAGUUAUUAAUUAAAUUAUAAAAAUGAAUCAUUUCAUAAUUUGAAACUAAAACUUCUAGAACAUUUUAUUGCAAUUUUAUGGGUAUUAAUAAUUCUACAUCAUGUAAUUGCAUGUCAUGCCACUUAAAAUAUGUUACAUCAUCAUUUUUUAAUUAAAAAAUAUGCACGAGGGACUAAAACUGUUAGAUUUUAAAAUAGAUGAAUCAAUUUCACAAAUUGUUAAAAAAAAAGGGAUUAAAAGUGCAAUUAAAUCUUUCUAUUUUAGAUAUAAAAACUUAAGUGUGGAAAAUUUUGUUUGUGAAAUCUCUUAAUGAUGCUGAAUGCAUUGUGAAUAUCUAUUUUAGAAAAGUUUCAAUUAUUAUGAAUUGUUUUUUAAUUGAAUUUUCCAUUGAUUAAGUUUUUCCAUCAAUUAGUAUAAUUAGUUUCAGUUUGAGAUUAAUUAUACACGUAAGUUGAAAUCAAUUAAUCAACAUCAUCCACAAAGAAUUCUAAUCACGACUUCAAUCAUAAAAAGAUUUUAAUCUAGAUUAUAAUCUUGAAUGCAUGAAACUUUAGGAAUAGUGAUAGUAUUCUUUAUAAUAUUAAAGGUUUAGAUUAGUAUAUAAAGAGACAUGAGUUAGUCGGUCAAAGUCUAAUGCAUCCUAACUGAAAUAACUACUUUGUAAUUGUCAAAAACUAACCAUUUAGAUUGUGUGAAUCAACUUAUAGAGGUUGUGAAUCAACUCCCAUGAGCCUUGAAAGUCCAGGAUUUCAUCCUAAACCAGUGUGAAUCGAUUUUUAGGUAUGUGAGUCGAUUCACAAAAUCUCCCAAAGUUGUGUUACUCGAUUCAUAAUUUUUAUAAGUUGGUUCACAAAACCUCUUGGAAUUGUGUGACUUGAUUCACAAGGUCUAGAACAUCAAGAAUGAGUUCAAGACCUCUGUAAAUCGAUUUACAAACCUAUGAGUUAAUUUUUAAAGUUAAAAAUUAGUUAAGAAUUAUUUUUUAAUGCAUUUCAAUGUGUGCCAACAUGUACCUAUCAUGCAACUAAGUUUAUGCUUGAUAAAGUAUGAUUUUCAUGUAACUACUUUUUUUCCUGAUUCAAAUGCAUUUGUGAAUGAUUGAUAAAUAAAAAUCAACCAAUGCAUACACUCAUCAUAUAACUAAAUAAGCUUAGUUUUGAUAUCUAUUAAAAUACUAAGUCUAUUAUUGGGAAUCCUACAAUUACACAAGCUAGUGUAAUCUAUUCCACCUUUACCAAUGAAAUCUAAACAAUGGAGCUAAGGUUUUUCAACUCAAAGAAGGAUCUAAUAAGUUACAUUACAGGUAGCAUGUCAUUUGUACUGCGUCGGAACUAAGAAGAAGUGUCAAGCCCUGAAAAAGUUAUGGAUCCCUUUAUAGUAGAUCUCAAAUUUUUAUCAUAUUGCAUAUUCGAUCCCAAUUAGUGCCAUUACAAAAAGAAAAAUAUAUAUCAAUUUGUAAGUGUUCAGUGAGCCAUAAAGUCUUCCUUACCUUGGAACGAUGUUGCAUCCCUUCAACUAUAAUUUUAUAAUUUUAGUGAUAAACAAAAUAAAGUCAUAGAGAAAGAGUGAAGGAAAAAGGAAAAAUCAAGGUAGACUUCCAAUAAAAUACAAAAGUGUUUCCAGUGUACAAUGCAAUAAUAAGAUAUGACAUUAAAGCCUCAAAAGCCUAAACUAUCUCCAAUAUAAUAUAUAUAAUCUAACAAUGACCACUAUGCUAUUAGUGGGGCAUUUGGAUACAUAUAAUAAAAAACAAUUAUAAAAUAAUAACUUAUC